GACGAACGCUGGCGGCGUGCUUAACACAUGCAAGUCGAACGAAGUGGCGAACGGGUGAGUAACGCGUAAUCAACCUGCUCUUCAGCGGGGGACAACAGUUGGACACGACUGCUAAUACCGCAUACUGUAGGUGGGGCUUGCGUCGGUUGAGCUGGUUGGGGGGGUAACGGCCCACCAAGGCGAAGAUCAGUAGCCGGUCUGAGAGGGUGAACGGCCAAAGUGGGACUGGGACACGGGCCAGAAUCCUACGGGAGGCAGCAGUGGGGAAUCUUCCGCAAUGGACGAAAGUCUGACGGAGCAAAGCCGCGUGAGUGAUGACGGCCUUCGGGUUGGAAAGCUCUGUUAAUCGGGACGCGGUACCGGAAUAGAAAGCCACGGCUAACUACGUGCCAGCAGCCGCGGUAAUUC
Molecule: ribosomal RNA, 408 nt
Filed under: uncultured bacterium
Lineage: Bacteria
Description: partial 16S ribosomal RNA
Rfam family: Bacterial small subunit ribosomal RNA
Source: RNAcentral